UGGGGAAUUUUGGACAAUGGGGGAAACCCUGAUCCAGCCAUCCCGCGUGUGCGAUGAAGGCCUUCGGGUUGUAAAGCACUUUUGGCAGGAAAGAAACGUCGCGGGUUAAUACCCCGCGAAACUGACGGUACCUGCAGAAUAAGCACCGGCUAACUACGUGCCAGCAGCCGCGGUAAUACGUAGGGUGCAAGCGUUAAUCGGAAUUACUGGGCGUAAAGCGUGCGCAGGCGGUUCGGAAAGAAAGAUGUGAAAUCCCAGAGCUUAACUUUGGAACUGCAUUUUUAACUACCGGGCUAGAGUGUGUCAGAGGGAGGUGGAAUUCCGCGUGUAGCAGUGAAAUGCGUAGAUAUGCGGAGGAACACCGAUGGCGAAGGCAGCCUCCUGGGAUAACACUGACGCUCAUGCACGAAAGCGUGGGGAGCAAACAGGAUUAGAUACCCUGGUAGUCCACGCCCUAAACGAUGUCAACUAGCUGUUGGGGGCCUUCGGGCCUUGGUAGCGCAGCUAACGCGUGAAGUUGACCGCCUGGGGGAGUACGGUCGCAAGAUUAAAACUCAAAUGAAUUGACGGGGGUCGAUAGCUG
RNAcentral lists this ribosomal RNA (583 nucleotides) under uncultured bacterium. RNAcentral describes it as "partial 16S ribosomal RNA". It matches the Rfam family "Bacterial small subunit ribosomal RNA", at positions 355 to 929 of the family's 1533-position model. The record is from RNAcentral.